UUACAGUGGACAGCUGCUUCUGUGACACGCAUUAAUCUUGCGUUCAUUGAAACACUUAGUUUUGAGUGUUUUGACUCAGUUUUGUUGUAACGUUACCUGUGUUUAUAUUUUCAAUAACUUGUUUUGGGCUUCUCAUAUUUAUCUUUUUUUCUUGGCUUAGCAGGUUUAGUGUAAAACAAGUUUUAGCUGACAUUUUACAUGUUAAGAUUACAUGAGUGCAUAAUUUUAUAAAAGCUAUUUCAAAGUACUGUAGCCAUGUGUAACAUGCAUAUGUCUUAGUGAAUGAAUACUCAGCAUGCUGCUUGGUGCUCAAUGGUAAUAGUUUGAUUUGUUUUUGACAUCAAGUAAUAUUUGAUUUUUGUUUCUGAGAUUCCAAUGUUAUUUGUGGCAAAUAUUUUCCAAAAAUCCUCUAUCUAAAGCUUCAACUGAAUUCUAAAAUGCCUGCAUUUUCUACCAGAAACAUUAUCAUUGAUACCUCCUACAAUAUUUCAUUUUGUCACCAGGUACCUGGACUGGUGAAAAGUGAAAUCUGAAAUUCAUUCAUGUCACCAUUAUCCUACGACCUACCCCUAAAUGGAAUUGAUCUUGUUUCACAAAUGAGUUGUACAUUGUACAAUGUCUAUCAGCUGAUGUCUAUUGUCUAUCUCUCUUUCAGCACAGAAGAUCCUCAGUCAUAGUUAACAAAAUGGAAAAAAUUAGCUGUGUUUUUAAGAUUCCAGUGGUGGCCAUCAACUGCUCAGGAAAGCAGCCCAGAAUCACUUCACAACAGGUUUCCAAAGGAUCAUCAUUCAUCAGCACAGAAGGGUGGGAAAGAGAAGGCUGUUCAAAUUCUGAAAAGCCAGAGCUGCAAAGGAGGUCAAAGAUGCAGUGCAGUUGGCCCACUCAGUAGAGUUUCACUAGUGGUUCUGAUGUGGACUGAAGAUUACACGCUGGAUUGAAGUGGCCGGUCUGGAGCAGCUGUAGUUCACCAUUCUUGCUGAUUGUGGACGAGUAAGAGCCCGCGUUGGCCCCGAUCGGCGAUCGCUGGCCAAAGCCCACCACCAGUUUGGUGAUAGGCGUUGGCUGUGAUAUCUAGUGUCGCCUAUGUGUGAAAAGGACAAGUUGAUAACAAAACCUGUUGCGCCAUGUUAUUAACCCGCGCCCGGGUGGCCCUCAGCCAACUUGGUGGGGGGGGGGGGGGAGGUGUAUUCGGCCACACCAGGUUAUCUUGGAAUGUAGCAAAGCUGGAAAGACGCAGUAAAAUCAAUCUAUAGAUCGCUAUUUUUCUUCAGAAUCACACAGGUCAUUUUUGAUCAGGUCAUCGCUGAGGUCACUGGAGGUCACCAAAAGUAAAAUGAUGACGAAUUUUGGCCCCCGAUUUUGACAACUUCACAAAUUGGUUCAUAAUUCGGGAACCAAAGAAGCUACAGCGCCGCGGAAAAGCGAAUUCGAUAGCUCUUUCGAAAAUCUUUCAGGUUCUCAUAUUUGAGCUAAGGUCAACUAGGGUUA
Amphibalanus amphitrite is the source of this 1488-nucleotide long non-coding RNA. RefSeq lists it as uncharacterized. The record is from RefSeq and is a predicted model, not a curated record. Lineage: Eukaryota; Metazoa; Arthropoda; Thecostraca; Balanomorpha; Balanidae. The transcript has 2 exons.